AAGCAAGAGCAACAGGUUGGUGUUUGCAUUAGUGUCCCAUUAACUGUAUAGAGGUGACACCACAAAGUAUACGAGUUAAUGCCCGACGAGGUGUCCAAUUAUCAGUAAUGAAUGGACGACGUGGAGAGAGCUUCUGAACACAGAGAGCUUCUGAACCAGCAUAACUAAAUAACAUCGUUUAAGUUAUCACUCAUUUAACUUUUAACCAUGAUUUAGGCUGUUGAUUAAGAGUUAAGUGUUAAACAACACAGAACAGAAGUCCCUAAAGUCCGCUGUCAUUGUGAUGUUUGGCAGUGUUACGUUAUUGCUUUAUUCAUUGUGUAAUUGUUCUGUCCUCUGCCUGCCAACAUUUUAAUAAAAACAGCAGACUAUAAAUC
Molecule: long non-coding RNA, 377 nt
Organism: Labrus mixtus (cuckoo wrasse)
Lineage: Eukaryota; Metazoa; Chordata; Actinopteri; Labriformes; Labridae
Exons: 2
Source: RefSeq, a predicted model, not a curated record